RNAcentral lists this ribosomal RNA (253 nucleotides) under uncultured bacterium. RNAcentral's name for it is "partial 16S ribosomal RNA". It matches the Rfam family "Bacterial small subunit ribosomal RNA", at positions 524 to 776 of the family's 1533-position model. The record is from RNAcentral.
GACAGAGGAGCCAAGCGUUGUCCGGAUUGACUGGGCGUAAAGCGCACGCAGGCGGUGCGGCACGUGGGGUGUGAAAGCGGCCCGCUUAACGGGUCGAGGCCAUCCCAUACGGCCACACUCGAGAGUGGCAGAGGUUCGUGGAAUUGCCGGUGUAGUGGUGAAAUGCGCAGAUAUCGGGAAGAACACCCGUGGCUAAGGCGGCUCUCUAGUACGGUACCGACGCUGAGACGCGAAAGCGUGGGGAGCGAACAGG